CUGUCCUGAUCCUGCUGACUGAGCCUGGAGUGUAGCGAGAGUAGAUGAGAAAAACAGCUACAGUCUUAAAAGUCUUAAGUAUACUUUGUUCGCAGAAUAAUAUUUGUAUGUGAGGUGCUUAGUGGAGGGUGUCAGAGGCUAGGAUCAUGGUGUUGUCUAAACUGUGGGGCCUGCUAACACUCGGCGGACUGUAAACACAGUCAGAAAAAGGCAGAUCUCCUGCCUCAGCUGGUGUGGGAGCCUCUACAGGCAGGUCAACCUGAUCUGUCAGUGCCAUUGAGCGAGUGAUUGAAUAUAGACGAAUACAAGAAAGAAGCUGAAAGGAAAAAAUGUGUUGGAGAAAGAAAAAUCAGUCGGCUUUGUUCCCUGGCCAUGUGAUAAAAAGUUAGUGGUGAAGAGUGAACUCCAUGACACAAGAUGUACCAUCUAAUCGAUCUAAGCUGCAUCUUGCCAAGACAGUAAGCGUCUGCUCAGUCUCUGUGGACCCACUACCUGACGUCCAUACAUCGAGGCACAUGUUGAUUUAGUCAGCAUUUGCAGUGCCAGACACCCUGGACCAGGAGAAGCAGAGUGGAAGAGAAAAUAUGAGCAUCAGGAGGAGCGAAUCUUCAAUGUGCUCCUGUAAGAAUGAGGUUGUGCUGACUGAUAAUGUAAUGCAGAGCAACAGUGGAGGUCAGAAAGUGGAAAACAUCUCUAAAGUGUAAUGCGGAGUAAAAUAACCAGAACUUCACAGAAGAGAAGAGUAAAACUUAAAUAUACCAGAAACUGAAAGCAAGGCAAAAAAUUUAUGAUUUUUUUCAGGGACAUUUCAGGUUUUAAACUUGAAGUUCAUAAUAUAGCAAAUGUUAAGUGUGAUGUAUAAAUAUCCAUGCG
Long non-coding RNA from Pangasianodon hypophthalmus (striped catfish), 873 nucleotides. RefSeq lists it as uncharacterized. Lineage: Eukaryota; Metazoa; Chordata; Actinopteri; Siluriformes; Pangasiidae. The transcript is spliced from 5 exons. The record is from RefSeq and is a predicted model, not a curated record.